GGGUUUGCAGUGGGGUACGGGCAGACUAGAGUGCGGUAGGGGAGAUUGGAAUUCCUGGUGUAGCGGUGGAAUGCGCAGAUAUCAGGAGGAACACCGAUGGCGAAGGCAGAUCUCUGGGCCGCUACUGACGCUGAGGAGCGAAAGGGUGGGGAGCAAACAGGCUUAGAUACCCUGGUAGUCCACCCCGUAAACGUUGGGCGCUAGAUGUGGGGACCAUUCCACGGUUUCCGUGUCGUAGCUAACGCAUUAAGCGCCCCGCCUGGGGAGUACGGCCGCAAGGCUAAAACUCAAAGGAAUUGACGGGGGCCCGCACAAGCGGCGGAGCAUGCGGAUUAAUUCGAUGCAACGCGAAGAACCUUACCAAGGCUUGACAUAUACGAGAACGGGCCAGAAAUGGUCAACUCUUUGGACACUCGUAAACAGGUGGUGCAUGGUUGUCGUCAGCUCGUGUCGUGAGAUGUUGGGUUAAGUCCCGCAACGAGCGCAACCCUCGUUCUAUGUUGCCAGCACGUAAUGGUGGGAACUCAUGGGAUACUGCCGGGGUCAACU
RNAcentral lists this ribosomal RNA (549 nucleotides) under Plantibacter sp. R03. RNAcentral describes it as "bacterial SSU rRNA". It matches the Rfam family "Bacterial small subunit ribosomal RNA", at positions 616 to 1163 of the family's 1533-position model. The record is from RNAcentral. Lineage: Bacteria; Bacillati; Actinomycetota; Actinomycetes; Micrococcales; Microbacteriaceae.